ACCUUGAGAUCUGGCAGAGCCUGGAGCUCCGUACUCUGCUGAUGGUGUCUGCUUCCCUCAGACCAAGUUGUUAUUGGCAGAAUUCUGGAGCCAUGGUGUCUCAAUCAAUCCAAUUUUCCUGGUGUCCUGAUAUUACCCCUGGGCUACUGGCCUCGUGUUUUGAGUUCAUUUUGGGAGUAGAGCACAGCAGCCUGGGCUUGAUUGUCACUUUGGCAGCUACAGCAUUCACUGCAGCUGUGAACGGUAGCAGUGAAAGCAUACAUCAAUGACUUGCUCCUGACGAGAAUGGGAAUGCUUCUAACAUUUCACAUUCAAGAGAAGGAGCCUUGGAGAAUUCGUUGAAUAAUUGCCCGUAUUUUGGGAUUAUUUGGAAGAGUUAAUAUGGUGAUUCGUUUUCCCUGAACACUUGGGGGAACUGACCCACAAAACUGCCUGCCUUAGAACGGUAGAGGGUGGAUUGAGCUUUAAAUACAUUU
Molecule: non-coding RNA, 476 nt
Filed under: Pan troglodytes (chimpanzee)
Lineage: Eukaryota; Metazoa; Chordata; Mammalia; Primates; Hominidae
Source: RNAcentral